This 493-nucleotide ribosomal RNA is filed under the name Lafoeina tenuis. Its description in RNAcentral is "partial 16S ribosomal RNA". It matches the Rfam family "Bacterial large subunit ribosomal RNA", at positions 1892 to 2544 of the family's 2925-position model. The record is from RNAcentral. Lineage: Eukaryota; Metazoa; Cnidaria; Hydrozoa; Leptothecata; Campanulinidae.
AAAGAAGUUAAAGUUCUAUAAUGAAACUAAAAGGACGCGGUAACCUUGACCGUGAUAAUGUAGCAUAAUCACUCGCCAUUUAAUUGGUGGAUAGUAUGAAUGGUUGAACGAAUAUUCCACUGUCUUAGAAAGAAUGACUAGAAAUUGAAAUAAUAGUUAAGAUGCUAUUUUUAACUGUAAGACGAAAAGACCCUAUAGAGCUUAACUAUAAUCUCUUUAUAGUAAAAGAAAAAAAAUUCUAUAAAUAAAGAGAUUGGUAGUUUAGUUGGGGCGACUGUCUUUUAUAUAAAACAAAGACAAGCAAUGUUAAUAAAAAACUUAUUGUAUAACAAAAAUGUUUAACAAUUAUAAAAAUAGGCUAUAAUGACCCGUUACUACUUAAUAAAAAGAAUAACGAUCAAUUAAUAAAAGCUACCUUAGGGAUAACAGGAUAAUUUCAUUUUAGAGUUCCCAUCGAAAAUGAAGUUUGUCACCUCUAUGUUGAAUUAAGAUA